This 550-nucleotide long non-coding RNA is filed under the name Gallus gallus (chicken). Lineage: Eukaryota; Metazoa; Chordata; Aves; Galliformes; Phasianidae. The record is from RNAcentral.
AGCAGGAGCUGGCAGCUUUAUUGGUCAUGCCCUGAGAGUCUGAGGGAGGAGGUGUCAGCUUGUGGACUCAAAGAGGUACUCCAGGUCUGGCUGCCGUAGCCUCUGCUCCUUCUUCUUGUUCUUAGCAAGCUCCUUCAGCAUGGCCAUCACCUCGUUGUCAAACACAGCCGGCGUGGGCUUGGCUUCUGUGGCCCAGUAGUAGAUGUCCCAGUCGUUGCUGGGCUCGUUGAUGAGCCGGUCGUAGAGGUUCAGCUGCCGCUCAUCCAUACGGCUCAGGUUCUCCUUGGCAAAAAGGCUGAGCAAGAUGCAGUUCUCAAGCAUGCCCCUCUUCCUGCUCUCGUACAGCAGACGUGCUCUCUUGGUGGGCAGUGGCUCAUUGGGGCGCUCCUUCCAGGGAGGCAGAGGGAUCUCCAGCAUGUCCUUCCCUGAGUCGCCCAGCGAGGCCCCGCUGUAGCCCCGUGGCACGCACAGCCAUGCCAGCACUGGGCGGCACAGGGUGCAGCGGGGCAGCGAGCACAGCCGGCUCGUCGCCAUGAUUCCUCCCAACCCC